Molecule: ribosomal RNA, 699 nt
Filed under: uncultured fungus
Lineage: Eukaryota; Fungi
Description: eukaryotic LSU rRNA
Rfam family: 5.8S ribosomal RNA (bases 152-305)
Source: RNAcentral
UCUCACAAUAAAAUCCAUCUCACCCUUUUGUGCACCACCGCGUGGGCACCUUUUGGGAUCCAACCUAUCCUGGAGGGGGCUUGCGUUUUCACACAAGCCCCUUUUAAAAAGUGUAAAAUGACCCCAUUUUGCGAUGACACUCAAUCAAUACAACUUUAAACAACGGAUCUCUUGGCUCUCGCAUCGAUGAAGAACGCAACGAAAUGCGAUACGUAACGUGAAUUGCAGAAUUCAGUGAAUCAUCGAAUCUUUGAACGCACCUUGCGCCCCUUGGUAUUCCGAAGGGCACACCCGUUUGAGUGUCGAGAAAAUCUCAACCUUCUCGGUUUUCUUCUGGACACCGAAAGAGGCUUGGACUUUGGAUGCCUUUGCUGGCAUCUCUCUCUUUUUGACACCCAACUCCUCUUAAGCUAAUUAACGGGGUCCUCUUUGCCGAUCCUCGACAUGUGAUAAGAUGUUUCCAUGACUUGGUUUCUGGCUCUGUUGCCUUUGGGUUGGGACCCGCUUCUAACCGUCUCGACGAGACAACGUUUGGGCGUGUCUCCCUUCUCGGGAGACUCUCUCGACCCCACGAACCCUUGACCUCAAAUCGGGUGAGACUACCCGCUGAACUUAUGCAUAUCAAUAAGCGGAGGAAAAGAAACUAACAAGGAUUCCCCUAGUAACUGCGAGUGAAGCGGGAAAAGCUCAAAUUUAAAA